UCAAGCUACAAAGAGCACAAGGGGAAUGCCUUGGCACCGAGAGCCGAAGAAGGACGUGACUAACUGCGAUAAGCUGCGGGGAGCCGUAAGUAGGCUUUGAUCCGCAGAUUUCCGAAUGGAGCAAUCCGGCAAGAGGAAAGUCUUGUCAUCAUAUACUGAAUACAUAGGUAUAUGAGGGGAACCGCCUGAACUGAAACAUCUAAGUAGGGCGAGGAAGAGAAAUCAACUGAGAUUCCGUAAGUAGUGGCGAGCGAACGCGGAAGAGGCCAAACCGAGAGUAGUAAUACUUUCGGGGUUCGGACAGAAUACGGUAUUGUAAAGGUUUAGUGGAAUGGAAUGGGAAGUCCAACCGAAGAAGGUGAGAGUCCUGUACACGAAAAGCCUGAACAGCCAUCUGUAUCCAGAGUACCGCCGGACACGUGAAACCCGGUGGGAAUAUGGGGGGACCAUCCUCCAAGCCUAAAUACUACUCGGUGACCGAUAGUGAAGAAGUACUGUGAAGGAAAGGUGAAAAGUACCCCUGACGGGGAGUGAAAAAGAACCUGAAACCUUGUGUUUACAAGCACCGAAAGCUCAUCAAAGAGCGAUCGGGUACCUUUUGUAGAAUGGUCCGGCGAGUGAAUGUAACCGGCGAGGUUAAGCACUUAAGGUGUGAAGCCGCAGCGAGAGCAAGUCUGAAUAGGGCGUAUGAAGUCGGUUGUAUUCGACCCGAAACCGGGUGACCUACCCAUGGUCAGGUUGAAGUAAAGGUAAAACUUUAUGGAGGACCGAACCGACUCCCGUUGAAAUGGUAGCGGAUGAACUGUGGGUAGCGGAGAAAUUCCAAUCGAACCCGGAGAUAGCUGGUUCUCUCCGAAAUAGCUUUAGGGCUAGCCUUGAAAUAGAUUACCGGAGGUAAAGCACUGAAUUGGCUAGGGGCCGAGAGGUUACUGAACCUUAUCAAACUAAGAAUGCCGGAUAAUCGUUUUUCAGGAGUCAGACAGUGGGAGAUAAGUUUCAUUGUCAAAAGGGAAACAGCCCAGACCCACAGCUAAGGUCCCCAAGUAUAGUUAAGUGGAAAAGGAUGUGGAAUUGCACAGACAACCAGGAUGUUGGCUUAGAAGCAGCCACUCAUUAAAAGAGUGCGUAAUAGCUCACUGGUCGAGUGACUCUGCGCCGAAAAUUUAACGGGGCUAAACUAUACACCGAAGCUUGGGAUACAUCUAAUGUAUGGUAGGAGAGCGUUCUGUAUGGGGUGAAGUCGUAGCGAAAGCGGCGGUGGACUGUACAGAAGUGAGAAUGCCGGAAUAAGUAGCGAGAAUUAAGUGAGAAUCUUAAUGGCCGAAAGUCUAAGGUUUUUGGAGGAAGGUUCGUCCGCUCCAAGUAAGUCGGGAGCUAAGGUCAGGCCGAAAGGCGUAGCCGAUGCACAUACGGUUGAUAUUCCGUAACCAUCUGUAAUUUAAGCAAAGGGACACUUCAAAAGGGUGUGACCCGGGCGUUGGUUGACCCGGGCGUAAGGGACCGAAAUUAGAGUAGGGAAGCACACUUGGCUGAAGGCGAGAAAAGCUUUGCGUAUAGAAGCAGAUGCCCGUACCGCAAACCGACACAGGUGGACAGGAAGAGAAUUCUAAGGCCAGCGGGAGAAGGGUAGUUAAGGAACUCGGCAAAUUGACUCCGUAACUUCGGAAUAAGGAGUGCUCGAAAGAGCCGCAGAGAAUAGGCCCAGGCGACUGUUUAGCAAAAACACAGGUCUCUGCCAAAUCGAAAGAUGAAGUAUAGGGGCUGACACCUGCCCGGUGCCGGAAGGUUAAGAGGAGGAGUGAGAGCUCCGAAUUGAAGCCCCGGUAAACGGCGGCCGUAACUAUAACGGUCCUAAGGUAGCGAAAUUCCUUGUCGGGUAAGUUCCG
This 1886-nucleotide ribosomal RNA is filed under the name human gut metagenome. RNAcentral's name for it is "bacterial LSU rRNA". It matches the Rfam family "Bacterial large subunit ribosomal RNA", at positions 3 to 1985 of the family's 2925-position model. The record is from RNAcentral.